CCUGAACUUGCCUCAAUUACAUCUUACCGAAAGCCUUUCCUUAUCAGCUUCCAAGAAUCCUGAUUUGUGGCGUAUUGCCUUCAUUAAGGAAUCUUAACUGCUUCAAUUGCUGCAUCACUGCAUGAUCUCGUAAGCAACCUGCAUUAUAUUAUUUUGGAAUAUACCUACCUGUUUCAACCUCUGCAACUCUGCAUGAUCCUGUAUUGCUUUAUCCUAAAAGGUAUUUACCUAUAACUAGCUGCAUUGCAAAGUAUCCUGGAAAUCCCUAACUACUUGGUAUAACUUCAAGCCUGCUUGUAUAC
Molecule: non-coding RNA, 302 nt
Organism: Pelobates cultripes (western spadefoot toad)
Lineage: Eukaryota; Metazoa; Chordata; Amphibia; Anura; Pelobatidae
Source: the annotation of a GenBank genome assembly